Molecule: ribosomal RNA, 421 nt
Filed under: uncultured Halobacterium sp.
Lineage: Archaea; Methanobacteriati; Methanobacteriota; Halobacteria; Halobacteriales; Halobacteriaceae
Description: bacterial SSU rRNA
Rfam family: Archaeal small subunit ribosomal RNA
Source: RNAcentral
CAGCCGCCGCGGUAAUACCGGCAGUUCAAGUGAUGGCCGAUCUUAUUGGGCCUAAAGCGUCCGUAGCCGGCCGGGCAAGUCCGUUGGGAAAUCUGUUCGCUUAACGAACAGGCGUCCAGCGGAAACUGCUCGGCUUGGGACCGAAAGACCUGAGGGGUACGUCCGGGGUAGGAGUGAAAUCCUGUAAUCCUGGACGGACCGCCGAUGGGGAAACCACCUCAGGAGGACGGAUCCGACGGUGAGGGACGAAAGCUAGGGUCUCGAACCGGAUUAGAUACCCGGGUAGUCCUAGCUGUAAACGAUGUCUGCUAGGUGUGGCACAGGCUACGAGCCUGUGCUGUGCCGUAGGGAAGCCGAGAAGCAGACCGCCUGGGAAGUACGUCCGCAAGGAUGAAACUUAAAGGAAUUGGCGGGGGAGCAC